Molecule: non-coding RNA, 151 nt
Organism: Paramuricea clavata
Lineage: Eukaryota; Metazoa; Cnidaria; Anthozoa; Malacalcyonacea; Plexauridae
Source: the annotation of a GenBank genome assembly
AUUAAUUAUUAAUAACCCUUAAGCUGGAUAGCUCUACCCUGUUCUAGACUGUUUUCCCUAGAGGUCCAGUUCAGAAUAAUUACUGGACCUCUAGGGAAAACAAUUUAGAACAGGGUAGAGCUAUCCAGCUUAAGGGUUAUUAGUAAUUAAU